RNAcentral lists this ribosomal RNA (369 nucleotides) under Lupocycloporus gracilimanus. RNAcentral's name for it is "Portunus gracilimanus partial 16S ribosomal RNA". Lineage: Eukaryota; Metazoa; Arthropoda; Malacostraca; Decapoda; Portunidae. The record is from RNAcentral.
UAGCAUAAUCAUUAGUUUUUUAAUUGGAAACUCGUAUGAAUGGUUGGACAAAGAAAAAUCUGUCUCUUUUAUUAAAAUUGAAUUUGACUUUUAAGUGAAAAGGCUUAAAUUUUCUAGAGGGACGAUAAGACCCUAUAAAGCUUUAUAAAUUCGAUAAUUUUGCAAAUUUGUACAAAUAAAAGUAAUUUUGAAAAAUUUAUUUGGUUGGGGCGACAAAAGUAUAAUUAAAAUAACUGCUAGAAUUUCAAACAAUAAUUUUUGAUUUAGGUUUGUAAAUGAUCCCUUAUAAGGAUUAAAAGAUCAAGUUACUUUAGGGAUAACAGCGUAAUCUUUUUUGAGAGUGCUUAUCAAAAAAAGGCUUGCGACCUC